AACGCUAGCUACAGGCUUAACACAUGCAAGUCGAGGGGCAGCAUGGUCUUAGCUUGCUAAGGCCGAUGGCGACCGGCGCACGGGUGAGUAACACGUAUCCAACCUGCCGUCUACUCUUGGACAGCCUUCUGAAAGGAAGAUUAAUACAAGAUGGCAUCAUGAGUUCACAUGUUCACAUGAUAAAGGUAUUCCGGUAGACGAUGGGGAUGCGUUCCAUUAGAUAGUAGGCGGGGUAACGGCCCACCUAGUCUUCGAUGGAUAGGGGUUCUGAGAGGAAGGUCCCCCACAUUGGAACUGAGACACGGUCCAAACUCCUACGGGAGGCAGCAGUGAGGAAUAUUGGUCAAUGGGCGAGAGCCUGAACCAGCCAAGUAGCGUGAAGGAUGACUGCCCUAUGGGUUGUAAACUUCUUUUAUAAAGGAAUAAAGUCGGGUAUGCAUACCCGUUUGCAUGUACUUUAUGAAUAAGGAUCGGCUAACUCCGUGCCAGCAGCCGCGGUAAUACGGAGGAUCCGAGCGUUAUCCGGAUUUAUUGGGUUUAAAGGGAGCGUAGAUGGAUGUUUAAGUCAGUUGUGAAAGUUUGCGGCUCAACCGUAAAAUUGCAGUUGAUACUGGAUAUCUUGAGUGCAGUUGAGGCAGGCGGAAUUCGUGGUGUAGCGGUGAAAUGCUUAGAUAUCACGAAGAACUCCGAUUG
RNAcentral lists this ribosomal RNA (693 nucleotides) under uncultured bacterium. RNAcentral's name for it is "bacterial SSU rRNA". It matches the Rfam family "Bacterial small subunit ribosomal RNA", at positions 32 to 715 of the family's 1533-position model. The record is from RNAcentral.